RNAcentral lists this transfer RNA (89 nucleotides) under Actinomycetota bacterium. RNAcentral describes it as "tRNA-Ser". It matches the Rfam family "tRNA". From Rfam's summary of the family: Transfer RNA (tRNA) molecules are approximately 80 nucleotides in length. Their secondary structure includes four short double-helical elements and three loops (D, anti-codon, and T loops). The record is from RNAcentral. Lineage: Bacteria; Bacillati; Actinomycetota.
GGAGGGUUGGCCGAGCGGCCGAAGGCAGCGGUCUUGAAAACCGCCGGGCCCCGCAAGGGGUCCCGUGGGUUCGAAUCCCACACCCUCCG